CCUACGGGUGGCAGCAGUGAGGAAUAUUGGUCAAUGGACGAGAGUCUGAACCAGCCAAGUAGCGUGAAGGAUGACUGCCCUAUGGGUUGUAAACUUCUUUUAUAUGGGAAUAAAACGUUCCACGUGUGGGAUUUUGUAUGUACCAUAUGACUCAGGAUCGGCUAACUCCGUGCCAGCAGCCGCGGUAAUACGGCGGAUCCGAGCGUUAUCCGGAUUUAUUGGGUUUAAAGGGAGCGUAGGUGGAUUGUUAAGUCAGUUGUGAAAGUUUGCGGCUCAACCGUAAAAUUGCAGUUGAAACUGGCAGUCUUGAGUACAGUAGAGGUGGGCGGAAUUCGUGGUGUAGCGGUGAAAUGCUUAGAUAUCACGAAGAACUCCGAUUGCGAAGGCAGUUCACUGGACUGCAACUGACACUGAGGCUCGAAAGUGUGGGUAUCAAACAGGAUUAGAUACCCUGGUAGUC
Molecule: ribosomal RNA, 460 nt
Filed under: uncultured bacterium
Lineage: Bacteria
Description: partial 16S ribosomal RNA
Rfam family: Bacterial small subunit ribosomal RNA
Source: RNAcentral